RNAcentral lists this transfer RNA (74 nucleotides) under Alphaproteobacteria bacterium. Its description in RNAcentral is "tRNA-Cys". It matches the Rfam family "tRNA". Rfam says of the family: Transfer RNA (tRNA) molecules are approximately 80 nucleotides in length. Their secondary structure includes four short double-helical elements and three loops (D, anti-codon, and T loops). Further hydrogen bonds mediate the characteristic L-shaped molecular structure. tRNAs have two regions of fundamental functional importance: the anti-codon, which is responsible for specific mRNA codon recognition, and the 3' end, to which the tRNAs corresponding amino acid is attached (by aminoacyl-tRNA synthetases). tRNAs cope with the degeneracy of the genetic code in two manners: having more than one tRNA (with a specific anti-codon) for a particular amino acid; and 'wobble' base-pairing, i.e. permitting non-standard base-pairing at the 3rd anti-codon position. Lineage: Bacteria; Pseudomonadati; Pseudomonadota; Alphaproteobacteria. The record is from RNAcentral. RNAcentral also lists the same sequence under 4 other names.
GGCGACGUGGCGGAGUGGUUACGCAGCGGUCUGCAAAACCGUUUACCCCGGUUCAAUUCCGGGCGUCGCCUCCA